This is a small nuclear RNA of Cavia aperea (Brazilian guinea pig), 84 nucleotides long. Its record names the gene U4. It matches the Rfam family "U4 spliceosomal RNA". Rfam says of the family: U4 small nuclear RNA (U4 snRNA) is a component of the major U2-dependent spliceosome. NCBI's taxonomy places the organism in Eukaryota, Metazoa, Chordata, Mammalia, Rodentia, Caviidae. The record is from Ensembl.
AGCUUUACACAGUGGCAGUAUAAUAGCCAAUGAGGUUUAUCUGAGGUGCAAUCAUGGCUAAUUGAAAACUUAAUUAAUAUGACC